CGCCAGGCCCCCUGCUCACGCCGCGCCCGCUCACGCCGCGCCCCCGCUGGCACGCAACUUCCGACUUUCAGACAUGUACAGUUUGUUUACAAGACGCAGAUGGACCAUAUUGCCAUAUUGAGUCAUGGCGGCAACAACUCCCGGGAAGCACCUGUAUGCACUCAGCCUGAGCACAGAGGCUCCAUUUUGGUUCAUUGAGAGGGACAUGGCACGCAUCCGAAAAUGGUGGUGCAUUAGUCUAAUGUAACGGUUCCAGAUUGACGGCCAUGGACAGAGGUUUGCAUACUGGACUAAUGAGGCCAGAGCAUUGCUCCAAGGUUCACUGCAGCCGAUAUACAGGGUCCCAAAGGUCAGCAAGAGGGAACAUGAGGUUUCGAUUAGAAAAGGAUGACAGGUGCAUCAUAUUGGAGUUACCAACGUGUGUGCUUUCUGAAAUCCUAAAUGAAGUGGUACUACAGGAAGGAGAUAAGGCAUACUUAAGAUUGGCUCUUGUGUGUACCACCUUCAGGGACACUGUGUCCACUGACUCCUUCAGGAGACGGGCACAUUUUCAGUGGCUUGACAGUGUCGCUACAUGGAGCAGGUUUUCUGAGUCCUAAAGAAAAGAAUUCUACACCAUGUACACCGUGGACACCUGUCGUGAAUGUGGAAUGCGUUUUAAAAACUGCACACCUGGAUAUGUUGGAACAGGAAAAAGGGGUGUACUUGAAGCAGUUUACUCAGAAGACCCACAUCCAGGUUACUGCGAUCACUUUUGCCACCAAAUGCAAUAGGUAAAAAUAAGGUGUUUGUGUGUAACAAAGGGGUGUGGGGGAAUUUACUUAUUUUCUCUUUCAGAGAAAACGGACACGUAUACUACCUGUUGGCAGACAACCCUGAGCCUGCUGGGUGUUUUUCAAGCUGCAGGCCCCCGUGACAAUUUGUGGCUGGAAACUUGGGAUUGAAUUUUGAAUUCUCCAGUGUUAUUACAGACUGUUAAUUAAUUGUUUAUGACAAAAAAGAGAUGUCAUAUGUUUAAACAACUUUUGGGUGAACUUUUUGUAUAAUUUUAAAAAUGUUAAAACUAACAUCUAUUGAGAGUCUACUUUAUGCUUUUUUGGUUUUAAUAAC
Long non-coding RNA from Esox lucius (northern pike), 1110 nucleotides. Lineage: Eukaryota; Metazoa; Chordata; Actinopteri; Esociformes; Esocidae. The record is from Ensembl.